Molecule: long non-coding RNA, 2117 nt
Filed under: Mytilus galloprovincialis (Mediterranean mussel)
Lineage: Eukaryota; Metazoa; Mollusca; Bivalvia; Mytilida; Mytilidae
Source: RNAcentral
UAGUGAAGCAAGCUGCUCAAACAGUUAUAGAAGUAGUUAUACUUGUUACAGAACAACAUCGCAGAGAUGGGAACACACGCGUAAAUGUGGUUGGCUUUGGAAAAAAAGAUGCCACAGACAUUAUUCGUAAUUAAGAAAGAUAAAGAGUUUAAAUAAACUUGAUGCAAUACACUUUAUAUUCUCAUUCAUCGAAAUAUGUGUCAAAUACAUUUAUAAAAGAACCAUUCUUUUCACGAAUUUAAGGAGACCAUGUCAAUCAAUUAGACAUAUUCAAAUAUAUUGUAGACUAUAAGUCACACCAGUUCUUUGCAUCACUCAUAUCCAUAUUAAAAAUCUUGUAAUUUGUGAUAUGAAAACUUAAAGAUCUGAGCUUUUAAAAUGUUUGUAAUUGUUAACAGCUUAUAAGCCUACACAAAAGGCCAACAUAAUGCUCAGAAAUGUAAAAGUUUGCAACCGUUUUCCCUUUCAAAGCAAACACAAUACGGAAAACUAAAAAUAUGACACAGAAAAGAUAUAUAAUUAAACACAGAAAAAGAAAACAAGUACAACACGGAAAACUAUAACAUAAAGCAUACAUUUAUAAUAAAUUAUCAGUUGAACUCAAAUGCUCUUAAAUAGUAAGCGGUUCAUAAAAGUGAAUACAACGCAGAAAACUAAAAAGCAAAUACAACAUGGAGAACUUAAACUAAAUACAACACGGAGAACUUAAACCAAAUACAACACGGAGAACUUAAACCAAAUACAACACGGAGAACUUAAACCAAAUGCAACACGGAGAACUUAAACCAAAUGCAACAUGGAGAACUUAAACCAAAUACAACACGGAGAACAUAAACCAAAUACAACACGGAGAACUUAAACCAAAUACAACACGGAGAACUUAAAUCAAAUACAACACGGAGAAAUUAAACCAAAUACAACACGGAGAACUUUAACCAAAUCAACACGGAGAACUUAAACCAAAUACAACAUGGAGAUUAUAAACCAAAUACAAAACAGAGAAUUUGAACCAUAUGCAACACGGAGAACUUAAAACAGAAGGUUUUGGUUGUGCUGGACUUUUUUCUCUUCGUAUUUAAGAAUGUUUUAUAAUAAACUCUGUGAGCACAUGUCGAUUAGUAGGAAUCAUGCAUAUGAGUAUAUCAAAUCAUUUUUAAUUGUACUCAUGGUAUUGGGUCAAGCAUUACCCUUUAGCCUGUAUUUUUUUUGUAAUCAGUAUAAUAUAUCACUUUUCAUAUUUCAGCUACUCUUACUCGCGUGUGAGUGAUACUUGCUAUACAUACAAAGAUUGUCCAAGUAAGUUUACAGUGUUUUAUUUCUUCUAAAUCAAAAUAUCGUUCAAGGUGGAGAACCCAUUAUUCAUUCUUUAUAGUACCGUUAAGAGAGCACCGUCAUGAUAAUUUGUAAGAACUUUUUUCGUGUUUAUUUGUAUGCUGACAACUAAAUUUAACAGUUAAAGCGAAUAUAUCUCAAGACAUUGUUUAACCCCGCCGCAUUUUCGCGCCUGUCCCAAGUCAGGAGCCUCUGGCCUUUGUUAGUCUUGUAUCAUUUUAAUUUUAAUUUCUUGUAUACAAUUUGGAAAUUAGUUGGCGUUCACAUGAACUAGUAUAUAUUUGUUUAGGGGCCAGCUGAAGGACGCUCCGGUGCGGGAAUUUCUCGCUACAUUGAAGACCUGUUGGCGACCUUCUGCUGUUGUUUUUUUCUAUGAUCGGGUUGUUGUCUCUUUGACACAUUCCCCAUUUCCAUUCUCAAUUUUAUUAUAAAAGAAUACAAACAGUACCAUAAUUUAUAGUGAUAAUUUCAUAGCAUAUGUGAGUUUCGUGUGUAUUAAGGUUACACAAAUGAUGUUUUCACAAAAAUGUCAGUAGAAAUCUUAAAUAAAAGAAGACUUUUGCUUGUUUAAUUUUGAUUGCAGUGUGUAUAUGUAUGUUUAUAUUUAGGUUACUAUGGUUGGAGUGGUUGGGGAUCAUGGGGAAGCUGGGGUAGUUGUUCAUCAUCCAGUUCUAACCCACGCAGAUACAGAUAUAAAUAUAAAACAUGUGGCUAUUCUAGUAGCAACUGCUGCUACUGUGGGUCUAAAGGGAGUAGGACAUCAUCUUCUGAUUAUCAGAAAUGCA